UAACACAUGCAAGUCGAACGGGAUCCAUCCUUCGGGAUGGUGAGAGUGGCGGACGGGUGAGUAACGCGUGGGAACCUGCCCAGUGAUGGGGGAUAACUGCGGGAAACUGCAACUAAUACCGCAUGAGCCCGAGAGGGGAAAGAUUUAUCGCCAUUGGAGGGGCCCGCGUUCGAUUAGGUAGUUGGUGAGGUAAUGGCUCACCAAGCCGACGAUCGAUAGCUGGUCUGAGAGGAUGAUCAGCCACACUGGGACUGAGAUACGGCCCAGACUCCUACGGGAGGCAGCAGUGGGGAAUAUUGGACAAUGGGGGCAACCCUGAUCCAGCAAUGCCGCGUGAGUGAUGAAGGCCUUCGGGUUGUAAAGCUCUUUUGCCAGGGACGAUGAUGACGGUACCUGGAGAAUAAGCCCCGGCUAACUUCGUGCCAGCA
This 428-nucleotide ribosomal RNA is filed under the name uncultured bacterium. RNAcentral describes it as "bacterial SSU rRNA". It matches the Rfam family "Bacterial small subunit ribosomal RNA", at positions 49 to 513 of the family's 1533-position model. The record is from RNAcentral.